GGCUCAGUGGUCUAGUGGUAUGAUUCCUGCUUCGGGCGGUUCUUCGGAACACAAAUAAACCCUUCCAUCAUACAUGGGAAUGCAGGAGGCCCCGGGUUCGAAUCCCGGCUGAGCCC
Molecule: non-coding RNA, 116 nt
Organism: Xylariaceae sp. FL0594
Lineage: Eukaryota; Fungi; Ascomycota; Sordariomycetes; Xylariales; Xylariaceae
Source: the annotation of a GenBank genome assembly